UUUGUAUUACGUGCGGAAAUUGUUACCAUUUUCUGCUCAAAAAUGGUAACAAUUUCCACACGUAAUACAAA
RNAcentral lists this microRNA precursor (71 nucleotides) under Paramuricea clavata. Lineage: Eukaryota; Metazoa; Cnidaria; Anthozoa; Malacalcyonacea; Plexauridae. The record is from RNAcentral.